CGCCAGGGAAUUACGAGUAAACUUAAAACCCAAAGGACUUGACGGUGUCCCAUUCCCCCUAGAGGAGCCUGUUCUGUAAUCGAUAACCCCCGCUCUACCUUACCACUUUUUGCCUAUUCAGCCUGUAUACCUCCGUCGUAAGCUUGCCCUGUGAACGCCUAUUAAGCAUGCCCAAGGAUCUAAUNCAUCAAUACGUCAGGUCAAGGUGCAGCCCAUGAAGUGGAGAGCAAUGGGCUACAAUUUCUAAAUUAGAACAAACGAAAUACUGCAUGAAACACAGUUAUGAAGGUGGAUUUAGUAGU
RNAcentral lists this ribosomal RNA (302 nucleotides) under Indirana leithii. RNAcentral's name for it is "partial 12S ribosomal RNA". It matches the Rfam family "Bacterial small subunit ribosomal RNA", at positions 870 to 1339 of the family's 1533-position model. Lineage: Eukaryota; Metazoa; Chordata; Amphibia; Anura; Ranixalidae. The record is from RNAcentral.